Molecule: ribosomal RNA, 210 nt
Filed under: Triticum aestivum (bread wheat)
Lineage: Eukaryota; Viridiplantae; Streptophyta; Magnoliopsida; Poales; Poaceae
Description: partial small subunit ribosomal RNA
Source: RNAcentral
AUGCAAUCACGCACGGCUUCAGACCUACAGCGCGUCGUGGGCAGCACCAGUUGGAAAAAGCAGGGCGGCAUGGGCAGCGGCGUGGAGAAGACCAAGGCGGCCGCGUCCACGGGGCUGAAGAAGGUGAAUGAGGGCACCCCGCACGGGUUCCAGUGGAUCAAGGGCAAGGUGCAGAAGAAGAAGCAGGGUGCAGCAUCCAGGCUCGGUUGA